AAUAAGGAGCACCGUGACUAGGCACAGAUUAUUGACAGAGGUUGACCUGACUCUGGAAAAGGCAAUCAACAUAUGUCAACGUGAAAAAGGAGCGGUAUCAUCCCAGAAGAAUCGCAACACUAGAAAUAUUCAAGGUGUAUCGGCGUAUAAAAAGGGCAAGAAAACACUCAAGGCUCAAGAUUCCUGCCCUCGUCGAUGUGGAUCAUGUGGACGUAAAUCGGACGGAGAAUAGGAUAUUUGCUCUGCUCAGGAAAAUACUUGUCACUUGUCAACUGCGGCAAAGUUGGACACUUCAGCCCAUGUUGUCCCAAGAGAAAACGAUCUGUACAUUUGAAAGAUUCGGAGCCUCAUCCUGUCAAACCUGUGGACGAAGAGUUUGUCGCGGUGCAAAAAAGUUUAAACAAAUUAAGGAAGCUUACUCAUCGAGUGAUAUAAGAGAUGACGAGAAACUAACAAUCGUCGGUUCUUUGCUCCAUGGCCCCAUCAAUGAUGUCCAUAUUCCCCUCGAUUUUCCAACAAUCUAACUAACUUACCAAGGCUCGAUAGAAAGCGGACUCACUCCUCCCAGAAACGGUCACUUUUUCCUUCGAAGAAAAGACCAUACUCAUAAUUGCGCACUUUCGUCAAAAGUGUCCAGUUUUGUUAAAGUAAUAUUUAUUAUGUAAAUUGUUAUGGUUGUAAUAUAUUGUACAUUAUGCUA
Molecule: long non-coding RNA, 700 nt
Organism: Tigriopus californicus
Lineage: Eukaryota; Metazoa; Arthropoda; Copepoda; Harpacticoida; Harpacticidae
Exons: 2
Source: RefSeq, a predicted model, not a curated record